GUAAUGGGGGCACCUGAUCUAGCCAUGCCGCGUGAGUGAUGAAGGCCUUAGGGUCGUAAAGCUCUUUCGCCUGUGAUGAUAAUGACAGUAGCAGGUAAAGAAACCCCGGCUAACUCCGUGCCAGCAGCCGCGGUAAUACGGAGGGGGUUAGCGUUGUUCGGAAUUACUGGGCGUAAAGCGCGCGUAGGCGGAUUAGAAAGUUGGGGGUGAAAUCCCGGGGCUCAACCUCGGAACUGCCUCCAAAACUGCUAGUCUAGAGUUCGAGAGAGGUGAGUGGAAUUCCGAGUGUAGAGGUGAAAUUCGUAGAUAUUCGGAGGAACACCAGUGGCGAAGGCGGCUCACUGGCUCGAUACUGACGCUGAGGUGCGAAAGUGUGGGGAGCAAACAGGAUUAGAUACCCUGGUAGUCCACACCGUAAACGAUGAAUGCCAGUCGUCGGGUAGUAUACUAUUCGGUGACACACCUAACGGAUUAAGCAUUCCGCCUGGGGAGUACGGUCGCAAGAUUAAAACUCAAAGGAAAUUGACGGA
This 530-nucleotide ribosomal RNA is filed under the name uncultured bacterium. RNAcentral's name for it is "bacterial SSU rRNA". It matches the Rfam family "Bacterial small subunit ribosomal RNA", at positions 368 to 917 of the family's 1533-position model. The record is from RNAcentral.